UUUAUUGGAGAGUUUGAUCCUGGCUCAGGAUGAACGCUGGCGGCGUGCCUAAUACAUGCAAGUCGAGCGAAUGGAUUAAGAGCUUGCUCUUAUGAAGUUAGCGGCGGACGGGUGAGUAACACGUGGGUAACCUGCCCAUAAGACUGGGAUAACUCCGGGAAACCGGGGCUAAUACCGGAUAACAUUUUGAACCGCAUGGUUCGAAAUUGAAAGGCGGCUUCGGCUGUCACUUAUGGAUGGACCCGCGUCGCAUUAGCUAGUUGGUGAGGUAACGGCUCACCAAGGCAACGAUGCGUAGCCGACCUGAGAGGGUGAUCGGCCACACUGGGACUGAGACACGGCCCAGACUCCUACGGGAGGCAGCAGUAGGGAAUCUUCCGCAAUGGACGAAAGUCUGACGGAGCAACGCCGCGUGAGUGAUGAA
This 424-nucleotide ribosomal RNA is filed under the name Bacillus cereus. RNAcentral describes it as "bacterial SSU rRNA". It matches the Rfam family "Bacterial small subunit ribosomal RNA", at positions 1 to 412 of the family's 1533-position model. The record is from RNAcentral. Lineage: Bacteria; Bacillati; Bacillota; Bacilli; Caryophanales; Bacillaceae.